RNAcentral lists this ribosomal RNA (253 nucleotides) under uncultured bacterium. Its description in RNAcentral is "partial 16S ribosomal RNA". It matches the Rfam family "Bacterial small subunit ribosomal RNA", at positions 524 to 776 of the family's 1533-position model. The record is from RNAcentral.
UACGAAGGGUGCAAGCGUUACUCGGAAUUACUGGGCGUAAAGCGCACGUAGGCGGGCUCUUAAGUCGGUGGUGAAAUCCUGGAGCUCAACUCCAGAACUGCCUUCGAUACUGAGAGUCUCGAGUCCGGGAGAGGUGAGUGGAACUGCGAGUGUAGAGGUGAAAUUCGUAGAUAUUCGCAAGAACACCAGUGGCGAAGGCGGCUCACUGGCCCGGUACUGACGCUGAGGUGCGAAAGCGUGGGGAGCAAACAGG